Molecule: long non-coding RNA, 2254 nt
Organism: Pyrgilauda ruficollis (rufous-necked snowfinch)
Lineage: Eukaryota; Metazoa; Chordata; Aves; Passeriformes; Passeridae
Exons: 4
Source: RefSeq, a predicted model, not a curated record
GACAAUCACUUCCCUGGUCCUGCUGGCCACACUAUUCCUGAGAUAGGCCAGGAGGCUACCGGCCUUCUUGCCCACCUGGGCACACACUGGGGUGAGGGGAAGGGUGCCCACCUCCACAGUUCCUGUGCCCAAGGCUGCCAUCAGACUUCCACCAAGGUUUUUGGGGUCCCUCAUGCAUGAGGGUGGGGAGAUGGGCUGCCUCCACCCUCCUCCUGGCGCGGCAUGGAUACGGAACAACCCUGGCAUGUAUGGCAAAAGGCCCAGUUUGGUGUUUGCUGAGGCAUUUUGGGUCUGCCAUCAUCCACAGGGAUGGUGAAAUCCUCGAGGAAAUAACUGUUCAUUCACAAAGCAGUGUAAAGGUGAUGAGCUCAGAAAGUCAGUGACAAGUUGUGGCAUCACCAUCCCUCAAAGUGUGUAGAAAAUGAGUGAACGUGGCAUUUUGCAAUAUGGUUUAGUGGGAAUGGUGGCAUUAGGUCAAAGCAUGGACUUGACAGUCUGGGAGGUCUUUUCCAAAUGUAAAUGGUCCUGUCUUGUUGCUGCUGAAUGAGAAGCUGGUGAUGUGGGUGGCAUGGUCCUUGCAGGGUACCACAGAUGAGAGGACUUGUGGCUAUGUGCACAUUGCUCAUUUCAUUGUUUGUUUGUUGGAUUUUUUCCUACACAGAGAGAAGGAGACAAAGAGAGCUUUAUUUCACCUCUGAAUCAAAUACUUCAGAGAAAAAGACCAUCCCUCCCAUUUUGCAGCACCACAGGAAAAGCAGAGGCAUGGAGAGAUACAGCCCAAAUACUCCAUGGAAGUAAAUACUAGUUGUAUGUGGACACCUUUAUUGCAGUUGUUAAAGAGCAGAGCUAUUUCCUUCUCAAAAUCCAAUAUGUCAAUAUUAAUUUAAAAGUGUCAGUGCAGAAGAACUCAGCUGAGGUUACAUUUUGUUUGGGUUCUUCUUGUUCUCAUUUGGGAUGAUUCAAUUGGAGAUGCUGCAGUUAUGGAUGGGCUACCAAUGUCAUGUCAUGUGCACAAUACAUCUUCACCUGCUCAUGCUUGAUGUUGUUUCCACUGAAAUAAACACAAAAGAAGUUCCUGCAGUCUGGACUUUUGCUUCAGAGAGCCUGAAGAUUUGGUGAGUUUUUUUACCCUAGAUGAAAAUUUUCCUGUUAGUGCUAUGCCAAAUACCUGUUGAUAUUCUAUGCAGGAUUUUAGUGUGUUUGUAAUAAUCAGAUUGACAUGUAUGUUUUCAGUGACUACUUGGAUGAAAUAAAGAAUGAAGUUUUAGUGAUUCAGCAUGGUCUCUGCUUUUGAGGAGGGCUAAGAAGAUACUUAACAUCAUUUUCAGACCUUUCCAAUGCUGGGCUUUACUACAGAAAGGAUGCCGCACAUACACUCUGAAGAGCAUGCAGUGGAAUUGAAGUAAUUUUCUGUCAUGAAUUUUCUGGUUCUGUGCUCUCAGCUGUGUACAUCACCUCCCUCCUUGCUGAUUCGCUAGCAGCUCCAUGUAAUCAGCUCAUGCAGUAUUUCAUAAAUCCCAUUUUCAGGCUUUUCCUGGCCUGUGCAUUCUGUUCCAUAUCUGCACAUCUGCUCUUUCUGUGGGGACAUUAAUUUGUCUUCUGCUGGGUUACAAACUUCCCAGUUGUUCAUCUAUUGUCUGAGUGCUUACCUGUCACAUCUGCAAGAGUCUCCUGACACCAGAACUCAUUGCUACCGUGGAGGACACAACACUGGGCAAAUAUUGCCUGCCCAGCAGCUAUUCCUUGUUUGUGCUUCAGUUACACUCUCUUACCAUCCUCCUCUACCUUAUGUAAUGCUUGUAAAGGAGACCACUAGGAGGUCAGAAGUACAUGUUGUCAGUAAAAUGAGACAUUUCUUUUCAAAUCACAUCAUGUUUUCCUCAAGUAUUUCUGUUCCACUGGAAGCAUUAAAAACCAGGCUUUCCUCUGUAAGUAAAUAUAUGGAUGUUUUACCAUACAGUAUCUGCGAGUGCUAGCAUAUCAUAAAUUAUUGAAAGCAGAUAAAAUACACUCAGAUGUGAUCAGUUUAGCCAAUUUCACUGCAGGCUGGCAGGAGCACAAGGAUACUUUUCUUGUGGUAGUGGAAGCCAAAUCAAGGAGAUUAAAGAUAAACUACUCGCUUUAUGCUGUAUUGCAACUGUAAUGAAUGCAAGGGUCUGAAUGUGGUAUAAAUAAACAUAAAACUGGAUUUUGCCCUAAAAUACUGUGAAAAAAAAAGUUGAGUGGCCUAUCUUAUAUAAAUUGGUUCCCUCAA